This 790-nucleotide unclassified non-coding RNA is filed under the name Hevea brasiliensis (rubber tree). Lineage: Eukaryota; Viridiplantae; Streptophyta; Magnoliopsida; Malpighiales; Euphorbiaceae. The record is from RNAcentral.
AUUGCAGGGGGCUUGGUAGGCCUUCUGUAAUUCGAUCAUUAAAAAAAUUGUUAAGGCUUGAAGCUCCCAAAAUUUUGUUUCUUAUGGAAACAAAAUUAAGUGUAGAAAUGAGCCACGUUCAAUAGAAAUUAGGCCAUCAGCAAGGAAUUGAUGUUGAUUAUGAAAUAAGGGUAGUUAGGAGGGGAAGGUUAAGUAUUAUGUGGAUAUUUGAUGUAUCAGUGUGGUUUCAGUCUUUCUCAAGUCGCCAUAUUGAUAUUGUGGUCAAUGGGUGUUAGAGGUUCACUAGGAUUUAUGGAUGGCCUGAGGACUCACAAAAGCAUAAUUCUUGGCACUUGUUGACUACUUUAAGGAUUCAAAGUUCUUUGCCUAGGUGAUGUGGGGGUGUCUUUAAUGAGAUAUUGUUCAUGAAUGAAAAAUGUGGAGGGAAUAUUCGAUACUACAGGCGUAGGGAUGAAUUUCGUAAUGCUCUUAAUUCUUAUGCUUUAGAUGAUUUGGGUUUUAAAGGAAACAAGUUCACCUGGAGUAAUAGGCCGGGUGGUCAGGCUAAUAUUCGAGAAUGUUGACAAAUUUGUUGCCAUUGCUGCACGAAUGAGUCUUUUUCCAAACUUUAAGGUGGAUCAUUUGCUUAGACAAGGAUCGGAUCAUUGCUCAAUCUGGUUGAGCUGGAGUAGAUGUAGUGGCAUUGGUAGAAAAAGAAAUAGGCCUUUUCAUUUUGAAAAUAUGCGGAUGAGACAUAAGUCGUGUAGAAGUGAUUGAGGAGGCCUGGAGGGAGGGUAGAGCAUGGAGUGGU